GAUGAACGCUGGCGGCGUGCUUAACACAUGCAAGUCGAACGAAGCACCUCUCCCGAAGAUUGACACAGCUUGCUGUAGAUUGAUUCAUUUGAGGUGACUGAGUGGCGGACGGGUGAGUAACGCGUGGGUAACCUGCCUCAUAGAGGGGGACAACAGUUGGAAACGACUGCUAAUACCGCAUAGUAAGAAGAAUUCGCAUGUUUCUUCUUGAAAGAUUUAUCGCUAUGAGAUGGACCCGCGUCUGAUUAGCUAGUUGGUAAGGUAACGGCUUACCAAGGCGACGAUCAGUAGCCGGCUUGAGAGAGUGAACGGCCACAUUGGGACUGAGACACGGCCCAAACUCCUACGGGAGGCAGCAGUGGGGAAUAUUGCACAAUGGGGGAAACCCUGAUGCAGCGACGCCGCGUGGAGGAGAAGGUUUUCGGAUUGUAAACUCCUGUCGUUAGGGACGAGUAAAUGGAACGGUACCUAACAAGAAAGCACGGCUAACUACGUG
Molecule: ribosomal RNA, 496 nt
Filed under: uncultured bacterium
Lineage: Bacteria
Description: bacterial SSU rRNA
Rfam family: Bacterial small subunit ribosomal RNA
Source: RNAcentral